AUUGAACGCUGGCGGCAUGCCUUACACAUGCAAGUCGAACGGUAACAGGUCUUCGGAUGCUGACGAGUGGCGAACGGGUGAGUAAUACAUCGGAACGUGCCCGAUCGUGGGGGAUAACGAAGCGAAAGCUUUGCUAAUACCGCAUAAGAUCUACGGAUGAAAGCAGGGGACCGCAAGGCCUUGCGCGAACGGAGCGGCCGAUGGCAGAUUAGGUAGUUGGUGGGAUAAAAGCUUACCAAGCCGACGAUCUGUAGCUGGUCUGAGAGGACGACCAGCCACACUGGGACUGAGACACGGCCCAGACUCCUACGGGAGGCAGCAGUGGGGAAUUUUGGACAAUGGGCGAAAGCCUGAUCCAGCCAUGCCGCGUGCAGGAUGAAGGCCUUCGGGUUGUAAACUGCUUUUGUACGGAACGAAAAGACUCUUUCUAAUAAAGAGGGUCCAUGACGGUACCGUAAGAAUAAGUACCGGCUAACUACGUGCCAGCAGCCGCGGUAA
RNAcentral lists this ribosomal RNA (498 nucleotides) under uncultured bacterium. RNAcentral's name for it is "partial 16S ribosomal RNA". It matches the Rfam family "Bacterial small subunit ribosomal RNA", at positions 30 to 523 of the family's 1533-position model. The record is from RNAcentral.